RNAcentral lists this long non-coding RNA (499 nucleotides) under Carica papaya (papaya). Its description in RNAcentral is "long non-coding RNA (CPAP_LNC000999)". The record is from RNAcentral. Lineage: Eukaryota; Viridiplantae; Streptophyta; Magnoliopsida; Brassicales; Caricaceae.
ACCAAACUCCCAAAUUCUUUGGUGUAAUAUCAAAAAAACCUUGUUUCAAACUGCACAUAUUAUCUCUAGAUUUUCCUAUAUCAUAUUUGUUGAGUAAUUUUGAGUAUCAAGAUUUCUCACUUGUAAUUUGCAGAUAACACAAUCAUGCCCUUUCGGAUAAUGAUCAGUUGGUUAACAAUGUGUUCACUUUACUCUAGGUUUUUAGGCAUCGUUAUUAACCUCCAUCUUUCCUUUGGGACUUAAUGAUUCUUUCCUUCUUAGAGGUUGAGGCUCGCGGUUUUUUGAAGGAUAUGUCUUUGGCAACUCUGCAACAAGAUUGGUGGAAGCAAUGUUUAUUUUUUUUUCCAUGAUCUCUUAGGAGCACUUCCAAUCCUUUUUUCCAUGAUCUCUUGGGACUUAAUGAUCUUCUCUCCUUAAAAAUCAAGGCUCAUGAUUUUCUGAAGGUUAUAUCUUUGGCAUCUCUGCAGCGAGAUUGGGAAGCAACGUUUGUUUUUUUUUC